GAUGAAGAACGUAGCGAAAUGCGAUAAGUAAUGUGAAUUGCAGAAUUCAGUGAAUCAUCGAAUCUUUGAACGCAUCUUGCGCUCCUUGGUAUUCUGAGGAGCAUGCCUGUUUGAGUGUCAUUAAAUUCUCAACUACACUGACUUUGAAUUGGUGUGGCUUGGAUUUGGGGGGAAAAUUGUUGUGGGCUUUUUGUAUAGUCUGCUCCCCUGAAAUUGAUUAGCGGUACCUUUGUGGAACUGUCUACAGGUGUGAUAAUUAUCUACAUCUUAGACAUCUGCUGGAAUGCUGCUUUAUAAACCUUACUUGUAUUGACAAUCUUGACCUCAAAUCAGGUAGGACUACCCGCUGAACUUAAGCAUAUCAAUAAGCGGAGGA
RNAcentral lists this unclassified non-coding RNA (376 nucleotides) under soil metagenome. Its description in RNAcentral is "partial contains 5.8S ribosomal RNA, internal transcribed spacer 2, and large subunit ribosomal RNA". The stretch from base 1 to 120 matches the Rfam family "5.8S ribosomal RNA", at positions 35 to 154 of the family's 154-position model. The record is from RNAcentral.